GAUGAACGCUAGCGGCAGGCCUAAUACAUGCAAGUCGAACGGUAGAGGAAGCUUGCUUUCUUGAGAGUGGCGCACGGGUGCGUAACGCGUAUGCAACCUACCCUUUACAGUGGGAUAGCCCGGAGAAAUUCGGAUUAAUACCGCAUGGUGAUAAGAAUCGGCAUCGAUUUUUGUCUAAAUGAUUUAUUUUGGUAAAGGAUGGGCAUGCGUACCAUUAGCUAGUUGGUGAGGUAACGGCUCACCAAGGCGAUGAUGGUUAGGGGUUCUGAGAGGAAGAUCCCCCACACUGGUACUGAGACACGGACCAGACUCCUACGGGAGGCAGCAGUAAGGAAUAUUGGUCAAUGGGCGGAAGCCUGAACCAGCCAUGCCGCGUGAAGGAAGACUGCCCUAUGGGUUGUAAACUUCUUUUAACAGAGGCUAAAGUCGCGUAAUUUUACGUGUUUGCAGGUAUCUGUUGAAUAAGGAUCGGCUAACUCCGUGCCAGCAGCCGCGGUAAUACGGAGGAUCCGAGCGUUAUCCGGAUUUAUUGGGUUUAAAGGGUGCGCAGGCGGGCUUUUAAGUCAGCGGUGAAAUUCCACGGCUCAACUGUGGCGCUGCCGUUGAUACUGAAUGUCUUGAGUAUGUUUGAGGUAGGCGGAAUGUAGUGUGUAGCGGUGAAAUGCAUAGAUAUGCUACAGAACACCAAUUGCGAAGGCAGCUUACCAACCCAUAACUGACGCUCAUGCACGAAAGCGUGGGGAUCAAACAGGAUUAGAUACCCUGGUAGUCCACGCUGUAAACGAUGAUUACUCGCUGUUUGCGAUAUACUGUAAGCGGCCAAGCGAAAGUGAUAAGUAAUCCACCUGGGGAGUACGAUCGCAAGGUUGAAACUCAAAGGAAUUGACGGGGGCCCGCACAAGCGGUGGAGCAUGUGGUUUAAUUCGAUGAUACGCGAGGAACCUUACCUGGGCUAGAACGAUAGAUGCCGUAUGCUGAAAGGCGUAUUUCUUCGGACAUUUAUUGAGGUGCUGCAUGGUUGUCGUCAGCUCGUGCCGUGAGGUGUCAGGUUAAGUCCUAUAACGAGCGCAACCCCUACCCUUAGUUGCCAUCGGGUCAAGCCGGGGACUCUAGGGGAACUGCCUACGCAAGUAGAGAGGAAGGCGGGGAUGACGUCAAAUCAGCACGGCCCUUACGUCCAGGGCUACACACGUGCUACAAUGGCCGGUACAACGGGCAGCGACUCUGCGAAGAGGAGCGAAUCCUGAAAGCCGGUCUCAGUUCGGAUCGGAGUCUGCAACCCGACUCCGUGAAGCUGGAAUCGCUAGUAAUCGCGCAUCAGCCAUGGCGCGGUGAAUACGUUCCCGGGC
Molecule: ribosomal RNA, 1349 nt
Filed under: uncultured Bacteroidales bacterium
Lineage: Bacteria; Pseudomonadati; Bacteroidota; Bacteroidia; Bacteroidales
Description: bacterial SSU rRNA
Rfam family: Bacterial small subunit ribosomal RNA
Source: RNAcentral